Molecule: ribosomal RNA, 630 nt
Filed under: uncultured bacterium
Lineage: Bacteria
Description: bacterial SSU rRNA
Rfam family: Bacterial small subunit ribosomal RNA
Source: RNAcentral
GCAUGUUCACAUGAUUAAAGGUAUUCCGGUAGACGAUGGGGAUGCGUUCCAUUAGAUAGUAGGCGGGGUAACGGCCCACCUAGUCUUCGAUGGAUAGGGGUUCUGAGAGGAAGGUCCCCCACAUUGGAACUGAGACACGGUCCAAACUCCUACGGGAGGCAGCAGUGAGGAAUAUUGGUCAAUGGGCGAGAGCCUGAACCAGCCAAGUAGCGUGAAGGAUGACUGCCCUAUGGGUUGUAAACUUCUUUUAUAAAGGAAUAAAGUCGGGUAUGCAUACCCGUUUGCAUGUACUUUAUGAAUAAGGAUCGGCUAACUCCGUGCCAGCAGCCGCGGUAAUACGGAGGAUCCGAGCGUUAUCCGGAUUUAUUGGGUUUAAAGGGAGCGUAGAUGGAUGUUUAAGUCAGUUGUGAAAGUUUGCGGCUCAACCGUAAAAUUGCAGUUGAUACUGGAUAUCUUGAGUGCAGUUGAGGCAGGCGGAAUUCGUGGUGUAGCGGUGAAAUGCUUAGAUAUCACGAAGAACUCCGAUUGCGAAGGCAGCCUGCUAAGCUGCAACUGACAUUGAGGCUCGAAAGUGUGGGUAUCAAACAGGAUUAGAUACCCUGGUAGUCCACGCCGUAAACGAUGAAUACU